Molecule: ribosomal RNA, 301 nt
Filed under: uncultured bacterium
Lineage: Bacteria
Description: partial 16S ribosomal RNA
Rfam family: Bacterial small subunit ribosomal RNA
Source: RNAcentral
CAGUAGCCGCGGUAAUACGUAGGUGGCAAGCGUUGUCCGGAAUUAUUGGGCGUAAAGGGCUCGCAGGCGGUUUCUUAAGUCUGAUGUGAAAGCCCCCGGCUCAACCGGGGAGGGUCACUGGAAACUGGGAAACUUGAGUGCAGAAGAGGAGAGUGGAAUUCCACGUGUAGCGGUGAAAUGCGUAGAGAUGUGGAGGAACACCAGUGGCGAAGGCGACUCUCUGGUCUGUAACUGACGCUGAGGAGCGAAAGCGUGGGGAGCGAACAGGAUUAGAUACCCGAGUAGUCCCUGUCUCUUAUAC